UGUCUUAGCCCAUUUGAUGGUUUCAGAAUACAGACCAAUUGGGGCCAAGUAACAGGUUCUACUUCAGGAUUUGAAGAGAGUCAUAUGUUUGGGCCGCCUGACAGUCCAGCCCGAGUUAAUCCAGAGAAUAAAGGAAGCCCAGACAGUUGACCCUGCCCUGAUAGCCCACAAAAAGGAUGCAAAACAGGGAGGGAGCUCAAAAUUCUGAAUCUCUGCCGAUG
Molecule: long non-coding RNA, 221 nt
Filed under: Carica papaya (papaya)
Lineage: Eukaryota; Viridiplantae; Streptophyta; Magnoliopsida; Brassicales; Caricaceae
Description: long non-coding RNA (CPAP_LNC000158)
Source: RNAcentral